This 1181-nucleotide ribosomal RNA is filed under the name uncultured organism. RNAcentral's name for it is "bacterial SSU rRNA". It matches the Rfam family "Bacterial small subunit ribosomal RNA". The record is from RNAcentral.
CAACGCUGGCGGCGUGCCUAACACAUGCAAGUCGAACAAGAAAGGGACUUCGGUCCUGAGUACAGUGGCGCACGGGUGAGUAACACGUGACUAACCUACCCUCGAGUGGGGAAUAACUUCGGGAAACCGAGGCUAAUACCGCAUAAUACCCACGGGUCAAAGGAGCAAUUCGCUUGAGGAGGGGGUCGCGGCCGAUUAGCUAGUUGGCGGGGUAAUGGCCCACCAAGGCAGUGAUCGGCAUCCGGCCUGAGAGGGCGCACGGACACACUGGAACUGAAACACGGUCCAGACUCCUACGGGAGGCAGCAGUGGGGAAUUUUGCGCAAUGGGGGAAACCCUGACGCAGCAACGCCGCGUGGAGGAUGAAGUCUCUUGGGACGUAAACUCCUUUCGAUCGGAACGAUUAUGACGGUACCGGAAGAAGAAGCCCCGGCUAACUUCGUGCCAGCAGCCGCGGUAAUACGAGGGGGGCGAGCGUUGUUCGGAAUUAUUGGGCGUAAAGGGUGCGUAGGCGGUUCGGUAAGUUUGAUGUGAAAUCUUCGGGCUCAACUCGAAGUCUGCAUCGAAAACUGCCGGGCUUGAGUGUGGGAGAGGUGAGUGGAAUUUCCGGUGUAGCGGUGAAAUGCGUAGAUAUCGGAAGGAACACCUGUGGCGAAAGCGGCUCACUGGACCACAACUGACGCUGAUGCACGAAAGCUAGGGGAGCAAACAGGAUUAGAUACCCUGGUAGUCCUAGCCCUAAAUCGUGAGAUGUUGGGUUAAGUCCCGCAACGAGCGCAACCCUUAUUGCCAGUUGCUACCAUUUAGUUGAGCACUCUGGUGAGACCGCCUCGGAUAACGGGGAGGAAGGUGGGGAUGACGUCAAGUCCUCAUGGCCUUUAUGUCCAGGGCUACACACGUGCUACAAUGGCCGGUACAAACCGCCGCAAACCCGCGAGGGGGAGCUAAUCGGAAAAAGCCGGCCUCAGUUCGGAUUGUAGUCUGCAACUCGAUUACAUGAAGCUGGAAUCGCUAGUAAUCGCGGAUCAGCAUGCCGCGGUGAAUACGUUCCCGGGCCUUGUACACACCGCCCGUCACAUCACGAAAGUGGGUCGUACUAGAAGCGGGUGAGCCAACCGUAAGGAGGCAGCCUUCCAAGGUGUGAUUCAUGAUUGGGGUGAAGUCGUAACAAGGUAGCCGUA